This 443-nucleotide ribosomal RNA is filed under the name uncultured bacterium. RNAcentral describes it as "partial 16S ribosomal RNA". It matches the Rfam family "Bacterial small subunit ribosomal RNA", at positions 338 to 795 of the family's 1533-position model. The record is from RNAcentral.
CCUACGGGUGUCAGCAGUGGGGAAUAUUGGGCAAUGGGCGCAAGCCUGACCCAGCAACGCCGCAUGAAGGAAGAAGGCCCUCUGGUUGUAAACUCCUUUUCUCCGGGACGAAACACGUGACGGUCCCUGACGAAUAAGCCACGCCUACCUACGUGGCAGCAGCCGCCGCAAUACGUAGGGGGCAAGUGUUAUCCAGAUUUACUGGGUGUAAAGGGCGUGUAGGCGGGGACGCUAGCCCGGUGUGAAAACUAUGGGCGCAACCUGGGGCCUGCAUUGGACACUGGGGUUCUUGAGUAGGGGAGAGGCAGACGGAAGGCCUGGUGUAGCGGUGAAAUGCGUAGAUAUCAGGAGGAACACCAGUGGCGAAGGCAGUAUGCUGGACAGCAACUGACGCUGAGGCGCGAAAGCGUGGGGAGCGAACAGGAUUAGAUACCCCUGUAGUC